Molecule: small RNA, 166 nt
Filed under: Streptomyces rubellomurinus
Lineage: Bacteria; Bacillati; Actinomycetota; Actinomycetes; Kitasatosporales; Streptomycetaceae
Description: c-di-AMP sequence
Rfam family: c-di-AMP riboswitch aptamer (ydaO/yuaA leader)
About the family: This family represents a conserved RNA structure found upstream of the ydaO and yuaA genes in Bacillus subtilis and related genes in other bacteria. The ydaO/yuaA element is thought to act as a genetic "off" switch for the ydaO and yuaA genes in its native state. It is believed that the element may be triggered during osmotic shock leading to activation of ydaO, a predicted amino acid transporter gene, and members of the yuaA-yubG operon which code for KtrA and KtrB K+ transporters.
Source: RNAcentral
GUCACUCGAGGAUCACAGCGGACGGGAGCGGGGGAACCAAGGUCAGCGCCCGGCCGUACGCUCCCGCGUGCGCGCCGCGGCUUGGGGUGAAGCCGCCACAUCCGGCGGCCGGGCAUCCUCAGCCCGAACCCGACAGCUCACCUCGCAGGCGUCGCAGAGGACAUCC